GACGAACGCUGGCGGCGUGCCUAAUACAUGCAAGUCGAACGCACUCUCGUUUAGAUUGAAGGAGUUUGCUCCUGAUUGAUCAACAUUUGAGUGAGUGGCGGACGGGUGAGUAACACGUGGGUAACCUGCCCUAAAGUGGGGGAUAACAUUUGGAAGCAGAUGCUAAUUCCGCAUAAAACCUAACACCGCAUGGUGUAGGGUUGAAAGAUGGUUUCGGCUAUCACUUUAGGAUGGACCCGCGGUGCAUUAGUUAGUUGGUGAGGUAAAGGCUCACCAAGACCGUGAUGCAUAGCCGACCUGAGAGGGUAAUCGGCCACACUGGGACUGAGACACGGCCCAGACUCCUACGGGAGGCAGCAGUAGGGAAUCUUCCACAAUGGACGAAAGUCUGAUGGAGCAACGCCGCGUGAGUGAAGAAGGUUUUCGGAUCGUAAAACUCUGUUGUUGGAGAAGAAUGUAUCUGAUAGUAACUGAUCAGGUAGUGACGGUAUCCAACCAGAAAGCCACGGCUAACUACGUG
Molecule: ribosomal RNA, 520 nt
Filed under: uncultured bacterium
Lineage: Bacteria
Description: partial 16S ribosomal RNA
Rfam family: Bacterial small subunit ribosomal RNA
Source: RNAcentral